AUGCUGCUGGACUUAGGUUAUAAGGGCAACUUUUGGACAUUUGAAAAGAAGGUGGUGGGGAGGGGGGGUACUUGUACACGAUGUCGACUGGAUAGAGCAAAGGCGAAUGCUGACUGGGUAGCGAGGUUCCCUUUGGCCUCAGUAUCACAUAUUACGUGCGCCACAUCGGACCACUCCCCAAUCUUGCUUGAUUAUGGAAGCAAAACAACUGAAAGAAGAGAGAGACUUUUUAAGUAUGAGCUAAUGUGGGAGACACAUGAGGGGCUCAAAACGUUCUUGACAGAGGGAUGGGCAUCGGAACCACCAUGCAAUAGCGUGGAACAGAUGCGUGAGAAGCUGCGGAACCUUGCAGGCGGGCUGACCAGAUGGAGCAAGGACACCUUCGGAAGUGUCAGAAAGGAGAUUAAAAAGCUUAAGCAAAUUCUGGAGGAGCUCAGGGGCGACCCACUGAGAACUGGGCCUUCUCACGUUGAAUUAAAGAUCAACGAGCAGCUGAUCGAGAUGUAUCACAGAGAGGAGAUCAUGUGGCGACAGCGGGCAAGAGUCGAAUGGCUUUUGGCGGGAGACAAAAAUACCAAAUUCUUUCAUCUUCGUGCUAGCCUCCGUAGAAAGAAAAAUAUGGUGAAAGCCUUACAAAAUUCUUUGGGUGCUGUCAUCUCUGAUCCGGCUGAACUCCAGGACAUGGCAAACAUGUUCUAUCAAAAUCUGUAUACCACGGAGGGGGUUAAUAAUAUGGAAGAAGUGCUGGAGCAUGUCCCGCAGAAGGUGACCGAGGAGAUGAACGCAUCCCUUUGUGCUCCGUACACAAAUGAAGAGGUAAAAAAUGCUUUGUUUCAAAUGUUUCCUACCAAGGCGCCGGGCCCGGAUGGUUUUCCUGCACGUUUUUAUCAGCGACAUUGGGACGUAUGUGGGGACGAGGUCACCAAGAUCGUCCUAAGCAUAGUCCGUGGGGAAGAAAGCCCGGAAUGCAUCAAUGACACAGUUUUGGUUCUUAUACCAAAGGUAACGAAUCCCACUGUUUUAUCUUAG
Molecule: ribosomal RNA, 1029 nt
Filed under: Triticum aestivum (bread wheat)
Lineage: Eukaryota; Viridiplantae; Streptophyta; Magnoliopsida; Poales; Poaceae
Description: partial small subunit ribosomal RNA
Source: RNAcentral